This is a long non-coding RNA of Passer domesticus (house sparrow), 344 nucleotides long. RefSeq lists it as uncharacterized. The transcript has 2 exons. Lineage: Eukaryota; Metazoa; Chordata; Aves; Passeriformes; Passeridae. The record is from RefSeq and is a predicted model, not a curated record.
GCUGAUCUAAUUUCUGGCAUGAAGGAAUAAGGCUUUUUGUAAGGUGUGACCUGCACCUGGUGAAAAAGGGAUCAGUGGCACCGUGACAAUGUCUCUUCCUGAAAGGUGGCUGUGCUCAGAUCAUGGCCAACUUAGUCAUAAAAGAAAUGUCUUUAAACUUCACAGUCUGCCGACAUUCUUAUUUCCCAGAGCUUAUAUUUUCCACGCUUCCAAAAUGAAAAAAAUCAAUUAUAUCCAGUAACAACAGGAUUCUUAAUUGAUUAGGACCCCAAAACUUCUCACAGACUUUCUGGAACCUUCAGAAACUGAAGUGUUUGGAUAUUAAAUGAUGAAUCUGGACCAGA